GUCUCAGUUCGGAUUGUAGUCUGCAACUCGACUACAUGAAGCUGGAAUCGCUAGUAAUCGCGAAUCAGCAUGCCGCGGUGAAUACGUUCCCGGGCCUUGUACACACCGCCCGUCACACCAUGAGAGUCGGGAACACCCGAAGUCCGUAGCCUAACCGCAAGGGGGGCGCGGCCGAAGGUGGGUUCGAUAAUUGGGGUGAAGUCGUAACAAGGUAUC
Molecule: ribosomal RNA, 216 nt
Filed under: uncultured bacterium
Lineage: Bacteria
Description: partial 16S ribosomal RNA
Rfam family: Bacterial small subunit ribosomal RNA
Source: RNAcentral